Molecule: microRNA precursor, 61 nt
Filed under: Microcaecilia unicolor
Lineage: Eukaryota; Metazoa; Chordata; Amphibia; Gymnophiona; Siphonopidae
Description: Mun-Mir-26-P2_pre stem-loop
Rfam family: mir-26 microRNA precursor family
About the family: The hairpin precursors (represented here) are predicted based on base pairing and cross-species conservation -- their extents are not known. In this case the mature sequence is excised from the 5' arm of the hairpin.
Source: RNAcentral
UUCAAGUAAUCCAGGAUAGGCUGUGCUUACUCUCUCUGGCCUGUUCUUGAUUACUUGGGCU